UACAGAGGUCUCAAGCGUUGUUCGGAUUCAUUGGGCGUAAAGGGCGCGUAGGCGGCAAUUCAAGUCAGCUGUGAAAUCUCCGGGCUUAACUCGGAACGGUCAGCUGAUACUGCUUUGCUAGAGUGCAGAAGGGGCAAUCGGAAUUCUUGGUGUAGCGGUGAAAUGCGUAGAUAUCAAGAGGAACACCUGAGGUGAAGACGGGUUGCUGGGCUGACACUGACGCUGAGGCGCGAAAGCAUGGGGAGCGAACAGG
This 253-nucleotide ribosomal RNA is filed under the name uncultured bacterium. RNAcentral's name for it is "partial 16S ribosomal RNA". It matches the Rfam family "Bacterial small subunit ribosomal RNA", at positions 524 to 776 of the family's 1533-position model. The record is from RNAcentral.